UACAGAGGGGGCAAGCGUUGUUCGGAAUUACUGGGCGUAAAGGGCGCGUAGGCGGCCUUCUAAGUCGAACGUGAAAUCCCCGGGCUCAACCCGGGAACUGCGUCCGAUACUGGAAGGCUUGAAUCCGGGAGAGGGAUGCGGAAUUCCUGGUGUAGCGGUGGAAUGCGCAGAUAUCAGGAGGAACACCCAUGGCGAAGGCAGCUCUCUGGUACGUGACUGACGCUGAGACGCGAAAGCGUGGGGAGCGAACAGG
RNAcentral lists this ribosomal RNA (253 nucleotides) under uncultured bacterium. RNAcentral's name for it is "partial 16S ribosomal RNA". It matches the Rfam family "Bacterial small subunit ribosomal RNA", at positions 524 to 776 of the family's 1533-position model. The record is from RNAcentral.